UACGUAGGUGGCAAGCGUUGUCCGGAAUUAUUGGGCGUAAAGCGCGCGCAGGCGGUCCUUUAAGUCUGAUGUGAAAGCCCACGGCUCAACCGUGGAGGGUCAUUGGAAACUGGGGGACUUGAGUGCAGAAGAGGAAAGCGGAAUUCCACGUGUAGCGGUGAAAUGCGUAGAGAUGUGGAGGAACACCAGUGGCGAAGGCGCUUUCUGGUCUGUAACUGACGCUGAGGCGCGAAAGCGUGGGGAGCAAACAGG
Molecule: ribosomal RNA, 252 nt
Filed under: uncultured bacterium
Lineage: Bacteria
Description: partial 16S ribosomal RNA
Rfam family: Bacterial small subunit ribosomal RNA
Source: RNAcentral